AGCGAACGCUGGCGGCAGGCCUAACACAUGCAAGUCGAACGAACUCUUCGGAGUUAGUGGCGGACGGGUGAGUAACCCGUGGGAACGUGCCUUUUGGUUCGGAAUACCUCAGGGAAACUUGUGCUAAUACCGAAUGUGCCCUUCGGGGGCAAGAUUUAUCGCCAUUAGAGCGGCCCGCGUCUGAUUAGCUAGUUGGUGAGGUAACGGCUCACCAAGGCGACGAUCAGUAGCUGGUCUGAGAGGAUGACCAGCCACACUUGGACUGAGACACGGCCCAGACUCCUACGGGAGGGAGGAGAGGGGAAUCUAGCGCAAUGGGGGAAAUGCUGAAGGAGCCAGGCCGGGAGAAUGAUGAAGGUCUUAGGAAAGUAAAAUUCUUUCACCGGGGACGAUAAUGACGGUACCCGGAGAAGAAGCCCCGGCUAACUUCGUG
RNAcentral lists this ribosomal RNA (433 nucleotides) under uncultured bacterium. RNAcentral describes it as "partial 16S ribosomal RNA". It matches the Rfam family "Bacterial small subunit ribosomal RNA", at positions 29 to 507 of the family's 1533-position model. The record is from RNAcentral.